CUUACCUGUUGUCAUACAGGAAGGAUAAUAAGAUAAUAUGAUAUAUUUUUAUGGUGUUGAAUGUGUUGAAGCCUGCUAGCCGAAGACAGUCAAGAGGUUUCUCGUGAGUUUCUCUCUCUCGGAGUGAUCCAACAUCUUCUCUACGCUAUAGGCAACAGAGAACACACUGAUUCCCAAAUACAAGCCAGUCUGGCCUUGAAGCACUUUGUCCUCUCAUACCCAGUUAUUGAGGGACAUGUGCAGAGAGGCAUCGGCAGCACACUGUUUGCAGCCUUUAUGCACCAAGCUGACUCUUUGUACAUGAAUAUGGAUGAAACACAAGCAGAACUCCUGCUAACUAACAAGGUUAACAUAACUGAAGUGUUGGAUGGUGACCAACCACUGUGACUAACUCUGAAGGCUGAUAUGAGGGUCAAAUCAAUUUAAUAAUAGAGAUGAAUAAACUAGAACAUGUGUGUAUAUACUGCUUUUACGUCAUUAAAAGACUUACAGAAGUU
Sander lucioperca (pikeperch) is the source of this 497-nucleotide long non-coding RNA. RefSeq lists it as uncharacterized. The transcript is spliced from 4 exons. The record is from RefSeq and is a predicted model, not a curated record. NCBI's taxonomy places the organism in Eukaryota, Metazoa, Chordata, Actinopteri, Perciformes, Percidae.